Molecule: unclassified non-coding RNA, 242 nt
Filed under: Hevea brasiliensis (rubber tree)
Lineage: Eukaryota; Viridiplantae; Streptophyta; Magnoliopsida; Malpighiales; Euphorbiaceae
Source: RNAcentral
GAAUUCUGAAGCUACAAAUGAAUCGAAGAGCGUUAAGAAAUCGAGUAAGCAGCGGAGAAAUGGAAAGGAUAAGCGAUCUCCUUCACCGCCGGAGGGUGCGGCGGCGACGGUGACGGCGAUGGUGGUGGAUGAAGACGGAGAAAUGAGUAAUUCCUGCCCGAAGCUUGGUAGCUUCUACGAAUUCUUCUCACUUUCUCAUCUCACACCACCUCUUCAGUUUAUAAGAAGGGAAACAAGAAAGG